UUCGGAUUGUAGUCUGNAACCCGACUACAUGAAGCUGGAAUCGCUAGUAAUCGCGGAUCAGAAUGCCGCGGUGAAUACGUUCCCGGGUCUUGUACACACCGCCCGUCACACCAUGGGAGUCGGAAAUGCCCGAAGUCUGUGACCCAACCGCGAGGAGGGAGCAGCCGAAGGCAGGUCGGAUGACUGGGGUGAAGUCGUAACAAGGUAAC
This 209-nucleotide ribosomal RNA is filed under the name uncultured bacterium. Its description in RNAcentral is "partial 16S ribosomal RNA". It matches the Rfam family "Bacterial small subunit ribosomal RNA", at positions 1292 to 1500 of the family's 1533-position model. The record is from RNAcentral.